CCUACGGGGGCAGCAGUGAGGAAUAUUGGUCAAUGGACGAGAGUCUGAACCAGCCAAGUAGCGUGAAGGAUGACUGCCCUAUGGGUUGUAAACUUCUUUUAUAAAGGAAUAAGACGACGCACGUGUGCCUUUUUGCAUGUACUGUAUGAGUAAGAAGAGGCUAACUCUGUGCCAGCAGCCGCGGUAAUACGGAGGAUCAGAGCGUUAGCCGGAUUUGUUGGGUUUAAAGGGAACGUAGAUGGGUUGUUAAGUCAGUUGUGAAAGUUUGCGGCUGAACCGUAAAAUUGCAAUUGAUACUGGACGUCUUGAGUACAGUUGAGGUAAGCAGAAUUCGUGGUGUAGCGGUGAAAUGCGUAGAUA
Molecule: ribosomal RNA, 360 nt
Filed under: uncultured bacterium
Lineage: Bacteria
Description: partial 16S ribosomal RNA
Rfam family: Bacterial small subunit ribosomal RNA
Source: RNAcentral